CCCACAACUUUUCUAUGAUCGGGUCUAAUUAUUUUGGGUUGGAUCCAAACCUAAAUUAGCUGUACAAAUUUUGGACCAGACACGUAUUAAGCGGCUAAAAAACUGGCACUCUCUAUUAUCUGCAUAAGAAUAUGCUAAAGAUUCGCUCGAAAAUUAUUAAUGCAUUAGCAAUCACACUAAAAGUCUAAAACAUAUUAAUCAAUUUACAUCCGUGGUUCGAAGCAUUACCGACGCAUCAGCAGCACUUUAAGAACAUAUCAGAUUGCACCAAAGAUCUUGCUCUUGAUCCAAUAA
Molecule: long non-coding RNA, 294 nt
Filed under: Ananas comosus (pineapple)
Lineage: Eukaryota; Viridiplantae; Streptophyta; Magnoliopsida; Poales; Bromeliaceae
Description: long non-coding RNA (ACOM_LNC029825)
Source: RNAcentral